GUCUAUGGCUAUGCCACCCUGAAUGUGCCUGAUCUCAUCUAAUCUUGGAAUCUAAGCAGGGUCGGGCCUGGUUAGUACUUGGAUGGGAGACCACCUUGGAAUACCAGGUGCUGUGUAGG
This 119-nucleotide ribosomal RNA is filed under the name Pteropus alecto (black flying fox). Lineage: Eukaryota; Metazoa; Chordata; Mammalia; Chiroptera; Pteropodidae. The record is from RNAcentral.